This 433-nucleotide ribosomal RNA is filed under the name uncultured bacterium. Its description in RNAcentral is "partial 16S ribosomal RNA". It matches the Rfam family "Bacterial small subunit ribosomal RNA", at positions 29 to 507 of the family's 1533-position model. The record is from RNAcentral.
AACGAACGCUGGCGGCAUGCCUAACAUAUGCAAGUCGAACGAGACCUUCGGGUCUAGUGGCGCACGGGUGCGUAACGCGUGGGAACCUGCCCUUAGGUUCGGAAUAACUCCCCGAAAGGGGUGCUAAUACCGGAUAAUGUCUUCGGACCAAAGAUUUAUCGCCUUUGGAUGGGCCCGCGUUGGAUUAGCUAGUUGGUAGGGUAAAAGCCUACCAAGGCGACGAUCCAUAGCUGGUCUGAGAGGAUGAUCAGCCACACUGGGACUGAGACACGGCCCAGACUCCUACGGGAGGCAGCAGUGGGGAAUAUUGGACAAUGGGCGAAAGCCUGAGCCAGCAAUGCCGCGUGAGUGAUGAAGGCCUUAGGGUUGUAAAGCUCUUUUACCCGGGAUGAUAAUGACAGUACCGGGAGAAUAAGCUCCGGCUAACUCCGUG